UAAUAACCCCUCCGGGCGGCGGCGGUCCCCCCGUGCCGCCGCCCGGGCCUUUGGCGAGGGGAGGUGACCGCCCGGGGCGCUACGGCGCCGGGCCAGGUUUCCCCCGCUUAAACGUGGAAAAGGCUAGCCGGCAGGGCUCCGACCGCAUGGCGACUCGUAAAAACUUCCGACCGUCGCGCAAUGCCUUCGGAGCCGGCCCGGCCUCUAAAACGGGAGGAUGACCCCUCCCAGAC
This 233-nucleotide unclassified non-coding RNA is filed under the name uncultured Ascomycota. RNAcentral describes it as "sequence contains ITS2". The record is from RNAcentral. Lineage: Eukaryota; Fungi; Ascomycota.